UCGAGAAUUUUUCACAAUGGGGGAAACCCUGAUGGAGCGACGCCGCGUGGAGGAUGAAGGCCCUCGGGUCGUAAACUCCUGUCAUGCGGGAACAAGAAAGUGAUAGUACCGCAAGAGGAAGAGACGGCUAACUCUGUGCCAGCAGCCGCGGUAAUACAGAGGUCUCAAGCGUUGUUCGGAUUCAUUGGGCGUAAAGGGUGCGUAGGUGGCGAUGUAAGUCUAACGUGAAAUCUCGGGGCUCAACCCCGAAAUUGCGUCGGAUACUGCGUUGCUAGAGGAUUGUAGAGGAGAGUGGAAUUCACGGUGUAGCAGUGAAAUGCGUAGAUAUCGUGAGGAAGACCAGUUGCGAAGGCGACUCUCUGGGCAACUCCUGACACUGAGGCACGAAGGCUAGGGGAGCAAACGG
This 406-nucleotide ribosomal RNA is filed under the name uncultured bacterium. RNAcentral's name for it is "bacterial SSU rRNA". It matches the Rfam family "Bacterial small subunit ribosomal RNA", at positions 355 to 775 of the family's 1533-position model. The record is from RNAcentral.